GAUGAACGCUGGCGGCGUGCCUAAUACAUGCAAGUCGAGCGAACGGACGAGAAGCUUGCUUCUCUGAUGUUAGCGGCGGACGGGUGAGUAACACGUGGAUAACCUACCUAUAAGACUGGGAUAACUUCGGGAAACCGUAGCUAAUACCGGAUAAUAUUUUGAACCGCAUGGUUCAAAAGUGAAAGACGGUCUUGCUGUCACUUAUAGAUGGAUCCGCGCUGCAUUAGCUAGUUGGUAAGGUAACGGCUUACCAAGGCGACGAUGCAUAGCCGACCUGAGAGGUUGAGCAGCCACACUGGAACUGAGACACGGUCCAGGCUCCUGCGGGAGGCAGCAGUGGGGAAUAUUGGAUAAUGGGCGCAAGAUUGAUGCAGCAAGGCCGCGGGUAUGAAGAUGGCUUUCGGUUUGUAAAGUACUGUCAGCGGGGAGGAAGAGAGUAACCUUGAUAAAUUCGCUCAUUGACGUUACCUGAAGAAGAAGCAACGGCUACCUCCGUG
Molecule: ribosomal RNA, 497 nt
Filed under: uncultured bacterium
Lineage: Bacteria
Description: partial 16S ribosomal RNA
Rfam family: Bacterial small subunit ribosomal RNA
Source: RNAcentral